This 540-nucleotide long non-coding RNA is filed under the name Sinocyclocheilus grahami. RNAcentral describes it as "lncRNA (ENSSGRG00000024076.1)". The record is from RNAcentral. Lineage: Eukaryota; Metazoa; Chordata; Actinopteri; Cypriniformes; Cyprinidae.
GUCAAAGUGAAACUAAACACAGCACAUUGUUCAUUUUAAAUUCUACAUUAAGUCUGCAGAUACAAAAUGAGUUUCAACAUUUGUAUUAAAGAUGAGAAAGGACAGCCAAGAACAGUAAGUGUGGAUUCAGAGGAGGAACUGAAGAACAUGACUGUUGAAGAGCUCAAAAGAAGAGCAUUUCCUGAAGACCGAUGGAUCGCGUGGAGGUUUAUCUUCAAGGGCAGACAACUGAAGGAAGGUCGUACACUUGGCUCUUAUGGCGUACUAAACGAAUCUACUAUUCAUGCAGUUCAACGUCUACGUGGUGGAGCUCCACCUGAAGAUGAAGAUGUAGAAAGCUCCAAGAGUGCAUAUAGGGAAGUAUUAGCUUCAACGCAGCACACUGAGCCAGAACCCAAUACAUCAUGUUUGAUUUUGUAGUUCAGUGCAUCCUCAUAUAAAUCCAACACAUUGUACAAAUAUGAAAAAUAUAAACAGUCACAAUGAACUGCUCAGCUGUACCUGUAAACACCACGUGUAGCUAAAGACUCAGCAGUUGAC